GAUAGCUCGUUCUGCGAACCGGACGGUUGGUAAUUUACCCUAGCAGUGGUAAUUUCUGGCGAGAUAAUUUAUUCUGGCCCAUAAAGCCAUAAUUACUGGGAAAAUUUUUUGCGUACCCGGGACUUUUGUGUAAUUCUGGCUACCAUUGGCGCCCUGGGUAUUACGUACUGAUGUGUAUUGCGUACUGUGUAUAUAUAAAAGGCCGCCUGAACGUUAGCGUUCAGUAUCGGAGCUUCUCUCAAGGUUGGACUUAGGAAAGAAACGAGGGCGAAUAGCACUGACUACAAACCACGCGUUAACGCUUGAAUCCGACUCGUUUAUAUAGCAGCGGAGAUUUGCACGACAAUGACUAGGUUACUUCUGAUCGUGGUCCUUCUCUCGGCCAUCUGUGUCGAGUUGUAUUCGGCGGGCACCGUACGGAGAAUCAGCGACGUACGAGCCUUACACGCACGCCAGCGACGACAGGCGUCGAAAAUCCACAAUCUGCCACAGGACUUUCUCGACAAGUUAUCGGAUGCUGGAACAAACGCUCUGAAGAGCAAGUACUUGGAGGCAGCAAAACUCGUGAAGGCACAGAAGACCGCUGUCGAAGCAGAAGAGCCCAAAUGUAAAGCCGCCGCCG
Molecule: long non-coding RNA, 622 nt
Filed under: Priapulus caudatus
Lineage: Eukaryota; Metazoa; Priapulida; Priapulimorpha; Priapulimorphida; Priapulidae
Description: uncharacterized LOC106821664, transcript variant X2
Source: RNAcentral